Molecule: long non-coding RNA, 592 nt
Filed under: Gallus gallus (chicken)
Lineage: Eukaryota; Metazoa; Chordata; Aves; Galliformes; Phasianidae
Source: RNAcentral
GGCACCCCUCACCUCAAACUAAGAAAGAAAGGUGCUGCUGAGUCAGUUGGAGACUGAGCCCCAUCAAGGCAACCCAGCUGUAAUUGGUGAGGGUGAUUUCUGACAGUAUCCAGGAGGGGAAAUGUGGACUUGCCAAGGACUCUAUUGACCUCUCCUUACAGGGCCCUACACAAGAGCACAGCUGGCUAUUUAUGACUGCGGCCUAAGCAGAUAUUCAAAAGCAAGAAACCUUGAUCCAGUCAGGUUACAGAAAAUAAUAGAAAAAUUAUGAAUGAAAGGAAGGCCGCAGAACAGCCACUGAUCUGAAGAGGAGCAGGCUUCUGCCCAUGCUGGUCUUUCCAUUGGGUGCUGCUGAAGCAAUCGGGCAAUUCAUUUAUUUUAUAUUAAAUCUUUUCUAAACAUGGUCAAUCUUGUCUUUCUUUAUGUUUUUCCCUAUUUUCUUCUCCAUAAAAUGGAAAGAGUCACAUUAAUAUGUAUUCAUAGAGCAUAUUAUUAUAUCAUUAUUGUGAUAAAAAUAACAUCACCAUUGUCAUUAACAGCUGCACUCUGAUACUCUUUCUCCAGACAUUAUCAUGACUUCUGUGGAUCCAUG